AGUGCAGCAGAAACGUCGCCAGCUCCAUUUUCUGGCUUCAGUCGUCGCUUCUGUUUUUGUUUUUAUUGUCAAACGACACGUUUAUUCAUUUAAAGUUCUUUUUAAAGCUCGAUCAACCACUUUUUCAAGAUGGGGGGCGGAGACCUGAACCUGAAGAAGAGCUGGCAUCCCCAGACCAUGAAGAACAUCGAGCGCGUGUGGAAGGCGGAGCAGAAACACGAGGCGGAGCGGAAGAAGAUCGAGGAGCUGCAGAAGGAGCUGAAGGACGAGCGGGCGCGAGAGGAGAUGACGCGCUUCGCCCAGGAGAGCGGAGCCAUCAAGAAGAAGGACGACCGUCUGGACUGGAUGUACCAGGGCCCGGCGGGCCAGGUCUCCAGGGACGAGUACCUGCUGGGCCGGCCCAUCGACAAGCAGAUCACGGAGCAGUACGAGGAGCCGGAGAGCGGCCCGUCGGCCCAGACCGGCCUGCUGCCCGGCUCCAUCUUUAACCCCGUCACCCCGGCCAACACCCUGGACCUGGCGGCCAAGAUCCGGGAGGACCCGCUCUUCCAGAUCCGGAAACGAGAACAAGACAAGAAGAGAGAAGUUCUGACCAACCCGGUGAAGAUGAGGAAGAUCAAGGAGAUGCUGCGCCAAAAUCUUGAGAAGAAAGACAAGAAGAAGAAGAGGAAGAAGGACAAGAAGGAGAAGAAAGGAGACAAAGAGAGGAGGAAGGAGAAGAAGCACAAGAGGAGGAGUCUGAGUUCCAGCUCCGAGGAGGAAGAAGAAGAAGAGAGAUCCAAACACAGGUCCGACUCCAGAGACGAGGCAGGAAGGAGGUGGCGUUCCCAUGAUGCACCGGGGUACGGCCUGCAGUUCUCCACCGGCCGCCAUCACCACCAGGCGGCGCCGGAUCACCACCCGAGCCGCCGCCAGAGGUCCCGGUCCCCGUCCCGGUCCCCCCCCAGGAACCACAGGGACAGGAACUCCCACGGUUCCUCGCACCGCGGUGACAGGAGGGCGGAGCCUCGCGCUGCCAGCCCACAGAAGCCCCGCCCACACAAACAGGCCCCGCCCCCGUCCAGGAAACUGUCUCCGGAGGAGCUGGAGCGGCGCCGGAACCAGAUGAUGGACCAGGCCCGGCAGAGAGAGGAGGACCGGGAGAACAACGUGAGGAGAUACAAGAACCAGGAGGAGCAGGAGAAGCAGCUGGAACAGAACCGGAACCAGAACCUGGAGCAGCACAAAGGAUUCAUACACAACAUGAAGCUGGAAAGCGCCGCCAGCUCGUCCCUGGAGGACCGAGUGAAGAGAAACAUCCACUCCAUCCAGAGAACGGCGGCGUCGCUGGACAACUUCAUGAAGAGAUGAGGACGACGGGGACGACGGGGACGACGGGGACGACGGGGACGACGGGGACGCUGCAGAGACUCCGUCCUCGUCUGGUAGAGACUCGUCCGUCUGUCCUGCAGACACACGGACGACGGGAGAGGACGCAGCUCCUUCCUGGGGCUUUUAUUCUGAAAGGCCGAUUCCAGAACGACUCGUUACUCGUUAAAACGUUGAUGGACCUUUUUAUCUGAAAUGAUUUUGUAAAUAUACGGUCAGUAUUUUAUGUACAACUGGUGUAAAACUCAGUUUCUUUAGUUUCUUGGUAUAACACGUGUUU
Cololabis saira (Pacific saury) is the source of this 1648-nucleotide RNA transcript. It is a transcript of the gene named CWC25 spliceosome associated protein homolog, with no coding region annotated. Lineage: Eukaryota; Metazoa; Chordata; Actinopteri; Beloniformes; Belonidae. The record is from RefSeq and is a predicted model, not a curated record. The transcript is spliced from 11 exons.